UGACGCACGACGUGUGAACAACAAACAGUUGUUGGACUUCAACAAGCUAGCGAAGGUAACACCGGACUGAAAGCGCUCCCGCUGCCUUCUCCCGCAGAGAGGGGGACACCCAGGAGACCAGGGCGGUCUGAACAUCUUCGUUUUUCCCUUUUAAUAAUUAGCGCUGCACGUAGCAGCACGUGUUGAGCCGGCACGGCUCCUCCGCGCUAAUGUUAGCCACUGAAACAUGCUCAUUGCUCGGAGUGUGACGCCUGUUUUUUUCCCCAGCGCCGCUGGUCGAGGCUUGUGAUGCACGACAGAGGUUGAGACGCGAGAGCCGCCGUCGGGACUCAGUUUUCUUGACACGGAAGAAUGGACUUUGUCGCGCACAAGCGGACGGGCUCACAUGAAGAAGCGGGCAUGCGAUUGCACACGGGCCUGGACGUCAUUGUUGGACAACAAGUUUAGCAAGCUAGCAGCAGGCUUUAGCUCGCUUUAAUUCAUGCAGAUGAAUCGGUGUUGGUGUCGGGCACUAAGCUCACUGUGCUAGCGUAAUGGAGGCACCCUGAGUGGACUUGUUUGUGUCGAUUGAUUAUAUCCCGAUCCUCCAAAAUACAAUGUGCUGACGACCAAGGAGUGUUUUCAGCUUGCAGCAAUAUAGUGGGCAGAAGUUCUUAAAGUGGUUACCUGCACAGCUCGUAGUUGAGCGAAGUUCUCUGGUUUGGUGUAUGAAUUACUGUUGAAAGAGCAUAGACUUCGUACAGCUGUCACAUAUUUAUGCUAUUGGUUUUUUUUUAUGCACUUUAUAGGGGAUACACCAAAGUUAUUUGCAUAUUCAAAAAAAAAAAAACAUACAGAAUAUAAUUAUCGAUUGCACUUCAAUCCAGUUCAGUCACUAAAAGACCACAGUUUGUUUGUUGCUGUAAGACAAAGGACAUAUUCCCAGGUUGUGUCAGUAUCUAAGCUAAGUGGUUCAGUCUAAGGCUUGAGUCUCACUGGAAAUGAAAACAUGAAUAUCGAGGAGCAGUGUCUAGAUUUGUGCAAUGUCAAAACUAAAAGCAAUGUGGACGGUGAUCACUACACUGCCAACAAUACAGAAGGGAUCACCCCCCGGAUAUCUGAGCUGAUGACGGACAGUAACACGGAAAAGCAGAACAUUGUUUCCACAGAGGCCUCUGAAACCUACCAGAUGCCCCAGCUCACUGACAACCUCCAGACUGCCGAGGAGGAUAACCAUCCGGCGCAGGACACACUUGAAAUUGAUGAGGUCAAUGGGAAUAGAACAAGCAGUGCCUCAGAUGCCCCAACUGUAGUCAAUCCCACUGACUUGAUCUUUUCUAAUGAUGACCAGCACAAAGACAAUGUUGGGGAGGAUAAAAUGAAGGAAGCGUCUGCCAGUGAUCCUGUAAAGAUUGCAGGGGCAGAAGGGGACGAUGGCGGGGACAUGGACAUAGGUGUGGAUCUAAGCCUUGAUGAAAGUGGGGUGUUGGAGGCUGAAUCUUCAAAUGUUAGCACAGUUUCUGACAAUACUUUAGACUCGGAGUCCUCUCCUCAGGAUGUGCUGGCUGCUUGUGAGGCAGAAAGCCAGUCGGACGAAAACCAAGUGAUCAGCACAGAGGCUUCUGGCACCGACCAAGCUGGACUGUAUCCCUCUAUCCAGGAGGGGGACGAUAAACACAAACCAAGCGGCAAAAGGGUGACAUUUCCCUCGGAUGACGAUAUCAUCUCUGGAGCAGUGGAGCCCAAGGAUCCCUGGAGACACGCUCAGAAUGUGACGGUGGAGGAGAUCGUCUCUUCUUACAAGCAGGCCUGUCAGAAACUCAACUGUAAACCCAUGCCCAAAGUGCUCAAACAGAUACAGGAACUGAAAGACCUGACGCAGCGAAAUGAAUGCUUGGAUCUGAAAGGCGAGAAGUUGGACUACAAAGCCUGCGAGUCCCUGGAGGAGAUUUUGAAGAGGGUCCAGUUUAAAGUGAUUGACCUGGAGCAGACCAACCUGGAUGAAGAUGGGGCUUCAGCUCUCUUCGACAUGAUUGAGUACUACGAGUCGGCCACGCAUCUCAACAUCUCCUUCAACAAGCACAUUGGCACGCGGGGAUGGCAGGCCGCAGCGCACAUGAUGAGGAAGACGAGCUCUCUGCAGUACCUGGACGCCCGUAACACUCCCCUGCUGGACCACUCGGCUCCCUUCGUAGCCCGGGCGCUCCGGAUCAGCGGCAGUCUGGCCGUCCUCCACCUGGAGAACGCCGGCCUGUCUGGCAGACCGCUCAUGUUACUGGCUACGGCUCUGAAGAUGAACAUGAACCUGCGGGAGCUGUAUUUGGCAGACAACAAGCUCAACGGACUGCAGGACUCGGCUCAACUGGGCAACUUGCUCAAGUUCAACUACAACAUUCAGAUUCUGGACCUGCGCAACAACCACAUCCUGGACUCUGGACUGGCCUACGUGUGCGAAGGACUAAAAGAGCAGAGGAAAGGCCUCGUCACUUUGGUGCUAUGGAACAACCAGCUCACACACAACGGCAUGGGAUACCUCGCCGCUGCGCUGCCAUGCACGCAGAGCCUGGAGACUCUGAACCUCGGCCACAACUCGGUGGGGAACGAAGGCGUCCACAAGCUGAAAGACGGACUGAUCGCCAACCGCUCAGUGCUCCGACUGGGCCUCGCCUCCACCAAGCUGUCCUGCGAAGGCGCCGUGGCUGUGGCCGAAUUCAUCGCGGAGAGUCCCCGACUCCUGCGCCUGGAUCUUCGAGAGAACGAGAUCAAGACGGGCGGCCUGAUGGCACUGUCGCUCGCCCUGAAGGUCAACACAUCUCUGCUGCGUCUCGACCUCGACCGAGAGCCCAAGAAAGAAACGGUGAAGAGCUUCAUUGAAACGCAGCGUGCCUUGCUGGCUGAGAUCCAGAACGGCUGCAAGAGAAAUUUCAUCCUCGCCAAGGAGAAAGAAGAGACGGAGCAGAAGAUGAGGCAGUCGGCCUCCAUGGCCGAGAUCGCGACUGAGGACGGAACCAGGGAGGAUGCUGAGGAGGAAGGAGCGUCUGAAGUGAAGGUCGACGGGGAAAGUAAAGAGGAGGAGGGAGCGGGGAAGGAAGCACAGAGCAGCCAGUCGGCGGCGAGUGCUGAGCCGCACGCCCCUCCGCCGACCCUGGAGUCCGACUCCGAUACCGAGGAUGAGGAGGAAGUAGAAGUAGUGACGCAGUCUUCUUCCACUUCGAACUCCCCCGCUCCUGAGUCGCAGCCCCCCCUCAGUUCCUCCUGUCUGUCCUCGCCUUCUGCCUCGCCCGCCGGAGCGCCUGGUCUCAUUUUAGGCAUCACUGUGACCGAGUCUCCAGCUCCUCCCGGCACCCCUCCGUCUCCGGGCCGCUGCAUAUCGGUCUCCAGCCCGGGUCGGGGUCAUAAGAUCUUCAUGGUGACCAGGGUGGAGAGCCCGCCCGAGCCGCUGCUGACCAGCGCGCCGGCAGCUCCCGCCCAGACUAAAGACGCCUCAAAGAAGCCCGCAGACGCGAACACGUCCGCCGCACAGCCGGCGCCACUCGCUUCACAAACACUACUGACGCAAGAGCACGUGAAGGGGGCGUCGCCGGCGCCGACGGACUGCCAAAAGGCAGAGCAGAGUCCCGUAGCACGCACAGAGUCGACACUAAAGACCACAGAACCGCAGGCGACGCCUCAGCCCACCGCCGAGGCGACACGUCCGAGUUCACAAGCACCAGCACAGCUCUCCUUCUCCUCUGCAGCGCCGGACGCAGCGCCUCAGCCCGCUGAAGAGGCAGCAGAGCGCUCCGAAGAGCAAGAGACGGAGGACGACAGGCCGUCAGGACUAAAGCCAGCCCAGACCAGUUUACAGUUUAAAGUAUCGGGGUCUGUACCUGAAGAGCUGGACGGUGAGCCAGCAGGCGCUGCAGAGGAGGUUCAGCCACCAAACCAAACCAAAAAGACCCAGCAGGAGGAGGAGGAGGAGCACACGCCGGUCAGCUUAUCAGAAAAGAACGAACCGAGUUUAGAGGAGCCAAGCCAAGAGGAAACGAGGCUAAAGCAGCAGCAAACGGAGGCUGAAGAUGAACAGGAAGCAGAGUCUGGUUUUUCUGUCAUUCCGUCUGCCGCUCAUCCCCAAGCAGCAGAGACCUCAGAGAGCCCCGACCCCCCGCCUGAGGGGCAUCCAGACGCAGUGGCUGAGCAGGAGGAGGAAGAAUCAGCUGACGAGAGCUCCGCAGACGAGGGUGAGUGUUUCGCCGAGGCUCUAGAAGAGGAGAUGGCCAGUUCGGCUCUGCCCAACGGCCUAAAGCCAGAGUUCUCCCUCCAUCUUCUAGACACAGAAAGCCCCAAACCCGGCAGCUGUGUGAUGGAGCACGUGAGCGUCAGCUGUGGGCAGGACCUGGAGGAGCUGCUGCUAGAAGCCAGUUUGGAGACGGGGAAAGACGCACCUUGAGGCAGGAACCGCCUGGACACGUGAAAACGGCCCUCGGACAGUUCGUCAUGCUCGACUCCGUGACCAGACGCCCUACAAUGUUUUUGUUGUUUCUUUACUACCGACUCAACAGAGAAACCCGACCUAACAGUGAAAAGCUCCGAAUAUGAAAAUACUGACAGACGGCGAAGACGCAGAGGACGAACCGCCUGUGUCCGAGCUCAACAGCGACGAUACGGAUCCUUCACAUCAACACUACAUCAACCACUGGAACACAGAGUUUAUAGGAAGAGGGUGGGGAAUAAAUAGUCACUACAUUUUAUCGAUCUGCAGGUUCUCCUGUGAGACGGAAGAGAGACGAGAUCAAAGCACUAACCAAAGACAGAACGCGGGUGUUUCUCACAGCGCUCGCUCUCUUCUGCCAGGAUCCACAAACAAGCAAUUCUUAGAUUUUAUUCACGGCGCACAGCUGCAGGGACACGGCGGUGACGGUGUGGAAUGUGGGGUUCGCACGGCGGGUGGCCCCCGCCGAGCUCCCGCGACGGGAGGUCGAGACUUUUAUAUCCGAGGUGGUGGAAGCGAAGGUGUCUGUCUCAGCGUCCACUUGCCCCUCGGCUCCGAAAUGAACACUCUAAGGGACCUCUGCCAAAGUGACCUCGCUCCGGUCUGUCUCCUCGUCCUCUGUUCACUUUGGCCCCUCAGGAAUACCCCGCCCCGACCCGCCCCAUCAGGAGGAGGAGCCGCCGCCGUUUCUCCUGAAACGCUUUCUGAGAGUCACAUCUGCAGACUCCUGUUUGUGCUGUGUAACCAGCCGUGGUUCCCGUCUCCGUCACUGCCCCGCCUCCCGGUCUUCUGCUGGUACCUGCUGCCAUCCCACCGCUGUUCAUCACUCAUGUUGCCUUCCGUCUCACCGACUCGUAUUCAGUUUCUUCUUUUUUAAAUUAGGCUGCUUUGGAGAAAAAAAAAAAAAAUCAGUUUUGUAUUUAUUUUAUAGCUGAAUGAGCCUUUCUGAUUUAUUUUACCCCACUUCUCCAUCUUGUUUUUUCUUUCUAUUCAGGAGUCAUCUUUUAAUGAUGAUCCUGUUUUGAUGUACAUUUCAUACACAAAUUAGAGCAAAUAUUUACUUUUUUUGGGGAGGGGGGUAAUCUGUAAUGGUGAGGAAAGGUAAAUAUUGACUCCUGGUAGCAGUCGGGGUGCAAUAAUGAGAAAAAAAACACGAGGAACCAUCAAACUAUAAGGGUCCUCGCCCUCUUUGCUGUUUUAAAGCUUCUCUGCUGGGUGGGCCUGUGGCCACAGGGGGGCGCUGGCGUGGAAGUUCCUCCAGACCUGAGGGAUCAAACUCCAAACAGCACUCUUGUGCUCAUAUCUGAUCGACCCCUGCCCUGGGAUUUGAACCCGCAGCAGGCAGACGUACUGUGUUUGCUUCAUGUGUGUCUGUGCAGAGAGCCACUUUCCCCUGCUUCCCUUUUUAUUUCACACACAUGCGAGAUGUUUUUUUUCCUUCUUGCUGGAGCGCCGCUCAGCCCUCCUGCUGUCCUCCACCCAACAGAGUUUGCCCCCACUGUUUGUAAUGCUUUAAUUUUUAGAAAUUUUUAAUAAUUUGUUAACUUAAUUGAAAUGUGCUGGUAAUCACAGAUAUGUAUGGCGAAAUUUGUUCCUCUCCAAUAAAUGCAUGUACUGACGACUUGUAUGACUGAAUGUUUCAAUGAAGGGACUCGGUUUAGGCUUUCAGAAUAACUUUUUUAUGGCUUAUACCAGAACCUGCAUAGAACGUUUGGUUUCUAUUUGGUUUUUUGGGGGAUUUUAAUGUGUUUGAGAAAGGAUCAUAUAUUAGAGCUGCAUUGAAACUCUGUUUUUUGGAAAUUACUCAAAAUUCAGUUCGUAAAAGAUCUUAAACUAACUAGGUAGUUUGCCAUGUAUAUACUGGUCAUGAUGGUGGCUCCCAUGAAUUCAGUCUAUUGUCAAAUCACAAUAAAGUUUUGUCAUAAGUUAUUUAAAAAAAAAAGAAGCAAGAAAUAAAAAGGAACAUUUAAGAGCAGCCAGAUAU
Molecule: RNA transcript, 6434 nt
Organism: Salarias fasciatus (jewelled blenny)
Lineage: Eukaryota; Metazoa; Chordata; Actinopteri; Blenniiformes; Blenniidae
Gene: ppp1r37
Gene name: protein phosphatase 1, regulatory subunit 37
Exons: 14
Source: RefSeq, a predicted model, not a curated record